Molecule: ribosomal RNA, 501 nt
Filed under: uncultured bacterium
Lineage: Bacteria
Description: partial 16S ribosomal RNA
Rfam family: Bacterial small subunit ribosomal RNA
Source: RNAcentral
ACUCAAAUGAAUUGACGGGGACCCGCACAAGCGGUGGAGCAUGUGGUUUAAUUCGAAGAUACGCGAAGAACCUUACCUGGGCUUGAUAUCCUAAGAACCUUAUAGAGAUAUGAGGGUGCUAGCUUGCUAGAACUUAGAGACAGGUGCUGCACGGCUGUCGUCAGCUCGUGUCGUGAGAUGUUGGGUUAAGUCCCGCAACGAGCGCAACCCACGUAUUUAGUUGCUAACGGUUCGGCCGAGCACUCUAAAUAGACUGCCUUCGUAAGGAGGAGGAAGGUGUGGACGACGUCAAGUCAUCAUGGCCCUUAUGCCCAGGGCGACACACGUGCUACAAUGGCAUAUACAAUGAGACGCAAUACCGCGAGGUGGAGCAAAUCUAUAAAAUAUGUCCCAGUUCGGAUUGUUCUCUGCAACUCGAGAGCAUGAAGCCGGAAUCGCUAGUAAUCGUAGAUCAGCCAUGCUACGGUGAAUACGUUCCCGGGUCUUGUACACACCGCCCGU